Molecule: long non-coding RNA, 6631 nt
Organism: Mustela lutreola (European mink)
Lineage: Eukaryota; Metazoa; Chordata; Mammalia; Carnivora; Mustelidae
Exons: 4
Source: RefSeq, a predicted model, not a curated record
AUUUCUAAUUGCAGUAAAGGAAGUGAGGAUGGAGAAUCAACCUGCCUGAGGAGGGAGGAGCCGAUUUGGUCCCAGGAGAAGGGGGAGAGGUAAGGGAAGCAGGCUGCAAUAUUAAGAUAGCACCAAAGCCCAGCCAUGAGAAGGAAACAUGUGCUUCCCCCCACUCCUUUCCUCCCCAUCUGCUAGGCUGAUGGUCACCAGAUAAUAGUCUGAAGUCCUAGCUUAGAGGAAAAGGUGGGAGAAAAAAUUUACAGAGCUGCCUGGGUUUCCCCAAAACCAUUCCCGAAGAGGAAAGAUGGCGGAAGACUAUCCCAAGAGGUAGCUGCCCCCCUAUCUACAGGAGAGCAGGCUUGGAGCCCCAUUGCAGACAUUCCCAACUGAUGCAUCAUAGCAGCCUUCAGAGGCACAAGUUCAUGAGAACAAGUUGGCAUGAUUAUAAAUGAUUAUAAUGAACAUCUUUGCCUUAUAAAGUAUAUUAAUGGAAAUGCUCUUUAAAUUUUAUCACACAGUAUGAAUGCUUGUCUUUCUGGCUUAAGAGCAAAGAUUUUUCAGUUCCUAUUGAUGGAUUAGGGAGUGAUUUCACAGCUAUUUCCAAUGAACAGGAAUGCUGAUAUCAUCUCUCAGAUAGGCCUGGGACAUCUUCUUUAACCUGUAGGUCCAAAGGCUCAGGCUGUGUACUCCAUCCUUCGCCCGGGUGUCAGUCAUCUUCAGAUACAGCAGUCCCAUCCUGUCCCCACUUUUACCGGUCACUGGCCCUCACCUUCACCUGUGUGUACAUGCAAUUCCCUCGCAUCCAUGUGGUUUUGUGACUCUGCCUUACACCUGCUGCCCUACCACCCGCCAACCCCCGAAAACUCUUGCUUCUCUUUCUGCCUGGUUGAAUUCCAAUUUGUUGCUCAAGGCUCAUAACGCAGGACCAACUCCUUAAGGAACUCCUCCUCCUCAUCCCCACACUGAGCAGAUGGCUGCUGCCUACCGGCAGUACUGUACCUUGAUCUACAACUCCUCCUUUCAGUACUCACCACACUUGGCUGGAAACCUUUCCAAGAGAAGAAACCUGCCAGAGGAGGCCAGAUUGGAACUAAUGACUGAAGGGGGCUAAGGUUAUGAAGCAUGUGACAGUUGAUUUCAUGUGCCAACUUAACCAAGCUAUGGCACCCAGCUCCAGUCUAGAUGUUGCUGUGAAGGCAUUUUUUAAAUGUAUUUAGUAUUUAAACCAGGAAACCUGGAGUAAAGCAGAUUACUCUCCAUCAUGCAGUUAGGCCUCAUUCAAUCAGCUGAAGGCAUUAAGAGCAAAGACUGAGGAGCUUCACAGGAGAAGGAAUUCUCCUCAAAACUGCAAUGUUUCCAGUAGUAGAAACCUUACUACAGGGGCACCUGGGUGGCUCAGUAUGUUAAGCGUCUGCCUUCAGCUCAGGUCGUGAUCCCAGGGUCCUGGGAUUGAGCUCCGCAUCGGGCUCCCUUCUCAGCAAGGAGUCUGCUUUCUCUCCCUCUGCCCCUUCCCCUAGAGUGAUGCUCAGUCACUUUCUCACUCGCUGUCUCGCUCUCAAAUAAGUAAAUAAAAUAUUGAGAGGAAGAAAGGAAGGGAGAAACCCUGCUGCCCUCUGUAACUUGGACUUAAGAUUUAACACCAACUCUUGCCUGAUUUGCCAGGUUACUCAACAAAUUUUAAACUUGUUAGCCCCCAGGUCAUGAUCCCAUGAGAUAGUUCCUUAAAUAAAUGUAUGUGUCCCGCUUGUUCUGUCUCUUUGGGAACACUGACGCAUUCAAGGCAGAAAAGAGAAGGAAGAAUGUUCCAGAAAGCACGAGCAAAAUACUAGCCUUCUCAUGUGUUCACAUGUGGCUGGCUCAUGGGAUGUGCCGAAUAAUAAAAGAAACCCCAUGUGGACUGGGGUUUUGGGGCCAGGCUUUCAAUGGAGUCAUCACGGACACAGAUGCACAGUUAGAACAUGAUCCAUUCUGGGUUUUAGAAAGGUAAGCACUAUGGUUGCAGAGACGGGAUGAAGGCAAAAUGACUCUAGAUGGACAUUUCAGUCCGUGGGCCGCUGCAGAAGUUUGAGGGAAGUAUAAGCAAGCAUACAGGGAGAGGGAAACACAGGAGAGGACACACUGAGAUGCAGAGGCAGAGCCAAGGGACACCAAAUGAUGGCUGGCUUGCUACAUGGUAGCAUCUGGAAAUCAGCCUGUGUUUAUUCAUCAGGGCACCCCAGGGCCCAGCACCCCUGAGACACAGCCUUCCAUAAUGUUUGUCAAGUGAGGAACAAAGGGAGGUGUAUACUGAAGAGAGUUGACAAGGAUGAAAGACAGCCUGAUGCUGCUCUCCAAAUGGCCGUGGUUUUCCUUUCUGCAGCCGUUUCAAGCUCUACUUCUUGUUGCUCAUCUUCAAACCCUGUGUGGUCUAAAAAUAAUCAGGAACAGUGGAGAUUUAGCUCCCCACAAAACUCAUUCUCCCUCGAGAUUUUCCUCCAAUUUCACGGCACAUCCAGUCUCUUCCCUUUUCCGUCCUCGGGUUUUCCUUUGUGUCAUGUUGAGCCAUGAGUGCAUGAGACAUGAUGGAUGGGCGUCGGGCCAUGGCGACCAGUGAGGAGAUCUAGCCCAGGGAAGUAAAAUCAAGGUUGGUUUGAAAAAUUAUUAAGUUACCAAACUUAGGGGGGGAAUAUAUAUGUAGAUAAGACCUACAUACCCAAGUGGGGAGAGGCAGAAAAUAGAGAAGGUGUUAAGAAUCUCGGGGGGUAUUUUGCAGUCAUCUGACAAAAUCAUCUGAACAAAGUUGGGAGUUUCACCAACCGGUUCUAAGAAAAGCCAAAUUGCACAUUUUAUCACCUUCAUCACCUUGACAACACAGCCUCUUUCUUAUGAUAAUAAUAUCAUACCAAGAAAAGCCUUUGGAGUGAGGGAAAUAUUAAUUAUAAGUGGAGUAGUAGAAGCUAAGCUAGCUCUGUCUAGGGAAAUUGGGGUGAGGUAUCUUCAAGGAGUUCGUAGCACUAACACAGAAGGAGAUAAGGAGGGAAAAUUGAAGUUAUGUGAAAAAAAGAUAAAAUGCAAAGGACGGAUGGGUUUAUUCACAACUGGUGUCGCUCAGUCAAAUGAUGUGCAGCCAUGAUUUGGGUUCCAUUAGCCUCACCUGCUGGAAGGGACUUUGAACUGAAAAAUAGAUGAGUUAGAGUUGGAGACUGGAGCUCUUAGAACCAGCAGCCCCACCUUCAGCUAACACCUCCACUGGCUGGGAGGGGGGAUGGAGAGGGAUAUAGGAGUCGAACGAGCAUCAAAAACAAGAGGUGGAUAUACAGAUUUUCAACUUACUUACAGGAGGUCACUGUUCUUGAAGAGCCAUCUCCCAUAAAGCCCUCUAAGGUGGAUUUUGUACAAUUAUUUUCUCUUCAUGGGCCAAGGUAUCAGUAAAAUAUUGCCAUUAGGAAAAUACAUUUUAUUGUGAGUUAUCUACAGGGCAUUCCUUCAGGACAAUUGUCUUCUUAAAUUGUAGUCUUCCAUUGGGAAAAUCUACAUUUUUUUUUAAAGAUUUUAUUUAUUUGAUAGAGAGAGAUCACAGCAGACAGAGAGGCAGGCAGAGAGAGAGAGAAGCAGGCUUCCUGCUGAGCAGAGAGCCCGACGCGGGACUCGAUCCCAGGACCCUGAGAUCAUGACCUGAGCUGAAGGCAGCGGCUUAAUCCACUGAGCCACCCAGGCGCCCCGGGAAAAUCUACAUUUUAAGUAUCAACUUUAAAAUUCGACAUAAAAUCCAGGGCAGAGCAAGCACAUGACUGAUCCUCUCUUUACCUGUGGCAGAAACAACAGCUUAAUGGCUCCAGUUUUCCUGAAUCACAUUUUUUUCUUUCUUGGUUCAAGUUAAUCAGCCCCGCCAUCCAUCAUAAAAUGCCUUCUAGCUCUGGACACCCAUCAGAGCAGAAGCGUUCAUGCAUGCAGGGGAAGUUGUCAUUGUUGCUCCGGGAAAUGACUCCGUGUGUCUGUCUUCAAAACAAUGGUCAGACAGACCAUGGGAUGGAGGAGCGGGCACAGUGGGCUUGUAGUUGAGCUCAGCCAGGAUGAGUGCUAACUAGGAGAUCUUAGAAUAGUUCCCGAGACUCUGCCUCUCCACAGCCUCCUCAUCUAUAAAAUGCAUCUUAUCAUACCUUCUGCAGAGGUCUGUGGGGAUUAUGCAUCACCGUGUAUGAAAUGCCUGGGACGUGGGAGGCCCUCUGGAAAUAUCCAUACCUUAGGCUUCUGGAGAGUGAUGAAACCCUCCCUUGUUUGCUCUUCCAGGCCCCAUCCUCUAGGAUCUGGCCUUCUGAAGUGAGCUUUUAGGACAUGUUUUCACUAACCCCUUUAGCUCUCUCCUAUAAACUGCAAAGGUAUGAAAACAAGAGAUGUAGUCGGGAUGUAAGGAAAUAGCCAGUGGUCAGGAACAUCUUGGGCUCUAGACCUGUUUCUCUACUAAGCAGCCAGAUGCAGUUAGACUAGUCCCUAACCUCCCUGUACAGACAAGAGUUUUCUUCUUUGUAAAAUGAAAAUAUUGCUCUAAAUUAUUCUUAAGAAUAAGUAUCAUGAUUCUAGGCAAUUUUGAUUCAAAAUAUGAGACUCUGCAAACCAUCUCUAAAAAAUGUCACUCAGCAGAGGCACCUGGGUGGCUCUGUCUGUUGAGUGUCGAACUCUUGGUUUCAACUCAGGUUGUGAUCUCCUGGGUCAUGAGAUCGAGCCCCUGCUUCGGCUCUGCACUUAGAAGGAAGUCUGCUUGAGGAUUCUCUCCCUCUGCUUCCUCCCACUCAUUCAUGCUCUCUCUCUCUCUCUCUCUCUCUCUCUCUUUCUCUCGUAAAUAAAUAAAUCUUUUUAAUAAUAUAUCACUUGGAAUCCCUGAGUGACUCAGUCAUUUAAGCAUCUGUCUUUGGCUCAGGUCAUGAUCCCAGGGUUUUGGGAUUGUGUCCCACACCGGGGGCACAGGAGGUCCUUGCUCAGCAGGGAGUCUGUUUCCCCCUCUGCCUGCUCUCCUCCUGCUUGUAAGCUUUUUCUCGCUCUCUCAGAUAAUAAAUAAAAUUUUAAAAAUAUAUAUCACUCAGUCUUUUAGUGUGUACGUGUCCAGUAUGUUGGAUGAUGGUGACGAUACUGAUGGUAAACAGGUUUCUCCCAUUUUGUCAGUUUCUUGUUUGGUGCUUAUUGAAUACCCAGAGAAAUCUUGUCAUGGUACCAAGCAAACACACCUCCUUUUUUUUUUUUUUUCCUUUUAUAAAAUUUCUGUUUCUAGCUUAGCUUCCUAAUGGUUCUUUAUUAACAAAAUGAGUCUUCGAAGUUGCAAUCAUGCAAUAAUUGACAGUCAAGCAGAAUGAUAAGAAAUGGCACAUGAGAUGACAAAUGAGAUGACAUUCGGUCCCAGCUCAGAGGCACCACUGAACCUUUUGCAUGUCGUCAGCGUCCUUCAACGAAAACGUGCAAGACCUCCUCCUGCUUCAUUUUCACAUCUGCUGGUUUUAUUUUUUGAAGUCGCCGAACCUUUAUUUGAUCUUCCCACUCUUCUCUGAACUUGGAUCAAACAUGUCCACAUUUGGGCCAACCACCUUCUCAGGGACUAGAAGGCUUGAAAGUAAACUUUCCAGCUUAUCUAAAUGGAUCAAGGAAACAGAAUAUUUCAAUAGAUGUUCAUUUGCUUUCUUAUUUGCUACCAGAAAAUUCAUGGCUGUUACAAGAAAUAUUUAUUUAUAGGAAGUUUGUUUUAUGUGACUUCCCCCCCUUCCCUGUCUAUUAAAUCAAAUGGAUGUAAUUCAUCGUGUGACUCCUCAGAACCUGCCCCGCUGUGCACAGCGGAUCGGCAAGCAUGCGACGCGGGAGAGCAGCGGGGCCAUGGUUUGGAAGUGCUCUACUCAUCACAAAUAUGUGGCUUCAAUAUUUAGUUGUUGUGGCAGAAAAACGGCAACAAAUACAUGAACUGUAAACCAUCUGCCUUGAAAUAUGUUCAAAGAUGAAUGUUCAUCUUGAAAAAUGAAAUCUAUGGAAUUCUGGCAUCCACUUUGACUUUUGAGAGAUGAACAGCUUGAAUAUGCAAAGAACGAAUUUCUAGACUAGCCUUCUUAAACUUUUAAAUUUUCGUGAACUCCGAAGUUAAAUGAUUCAUGGUCGGGACUGGAAAACUUCCUUCUUGCUUUUCAACUCUAAGGAAAAACCCUGACUGCUUGAAAAUCCUGGGACUGAAACCGUAGAGGGGUUUGUACAGAAGUCGCUUCCAUGUUAAGAAAUAGAGACAUGAAUGUGACUCCGUGUUUAUGUAACAUCUACUCUGUGCCGGUGUAUGCUGGACACAUGUGUAAAAAGCAUGAGAAUUCUGGCUUUCACUCGAUUCCUAAAACAGAACACUUAAACCGGCAGAACUAGAGACUUUGAACUGUGUCUCUUAGUUUGGGGUGAGAAAUGAGUCAUUCCCUCUGCUCUCUUUUGAACCACAAUCCAAAGGCGAUACAGCAUCCGUGCCCUGGGAGAAGGAGCUCUCCAAAUGGCUCUGAGAGGGGUUUCAGGCAACUUGAUAAAUAUAAAGAAGAAAGGUGUCAUAAAUGCAUGUGAGCAGUGAGGAAGACGUAGUCAGGAGAACAGGAAUCAAGCAAAGCACGGACGCCUUCUGGGCUUAGCAGACCAGACCAGAAGUGACCAC